CCUGGAAAGGUUCUGAGAUGACUGUAUG
Molecule: non-coding RNA, 28 nt
Filed under: Cricetulus griseus (Chinese hamster)
Lineage: Eukaryota; Metazoa; Chordata; Mammalia; Rodentia; Cricetidae
Source: RNAcentral